Molecule: non-coding RNA, 82 nt
Organism: Paramuricea clavata
Lineage: Eukaryota; Metazoa; Cnidaria; Anthozoa; Malacalcyonacea; Plexauridae
Source: the annotation of a GenBank genome assembly
UUUUGUAACUUCGAGCAACUUUUCAUGAAUUUGACUCAAAUUCAUGACUCAAAUUCAUGAAAGUUGCUCGAAGUAACAAAAA